AAAAAUUAUGUGCAAACGUGAAAUAGAAGCAUCUCUAAUGUCCACCUGAAAUAAUCUGGUAAUGAAGGAUUUACCUGAAAUAUUUUAGAAAAUACAAGGACUCACCUGAUAAAAAAACAUUUGAGGACUCGAUUAAAACAGUGAGUGCAGUUUAAGGACACUUUGUGUAAUUAUCCUUUAAACGGGUUAUGUGAAGAAAAAGGCAUCACUUUCUUAUGUCUGCAUUGAAUGAUUUGUGUCACUCAUAGUUGUUGAGAAACGCAAACUGAAACUGUUUCAAAAGAUUAGCCCACCUUUUCUAAGAGAAACUAGUGGAAUGCUUAGUUCACCUGUCCCUACAUUCAGUGGGCUCAUCAUAACUUAGCCACAAAAAAAGUUCAAUCAAAUUUAGAAGAUUACUAUCCAUUAAGGAGAAGAGAAACUGUUUCCAAGCAUUAUUCACUUGUCAAUGAGUACUAUAUAUGGUGCUCAUUUUCAUUCUUGAGGAAAUUUCAUUGUGAAUGCAAGCAUGGUGAGGGGUAUUAGGUUAAGAAUUGCAUACAAGGAUUUAGGUCAGUGAUUUCACUCUUGCAGCACUACCUUUCUUCUUUCAAUUUGUUAUUGUUUCUUAGCUUAUGACGAAGUUUCUUUUUUACUUAUCGUAUCGAAAUUCUCACCUUCAAAAGUUGCUUGUAGGUCAUUGAGGAUGGAGUUAUCUCCAGAGGAAGAAAUAAUUGCUUCAAUGAACAUGGAUGUAAUC
Molecule: unclassified non-coding RNA, 739 nt
Filed under: Hevea brasiliensis (rubber tree)
Lineage: Eukaryota; Viridiplantae; Streptophyta; Magnoliopsida; Malpighiales; Euphorbiaceae
Source: RNAcentral